Molecule: long non-coding RNA, 202 nt
Filed under: Hordeum vulgare
Lineage: Eukaryota; Viridiplantae; Streptophyta; Magnoliopsida; Poales; Poaceae
Description: long non-coding RNA (HVUL_LNC020039)
Source: RNAcentral
CUAAAUUGUUGAUGAUGGACUGGACAAGACACAAAAGUAAAACAUACUAUCGUAAUAUUAUUUUUGUUGUUUUUGCCUACAGAGUUGUAAAUUAUUGUUCACAUCGGCUGGAAUUUGUUUCGAUGCUUCGUGCUUCUCUUUGUGCUCCGAGUGAACGUGGUCAAACUUGUGUACUCUUCUGUAUUCCACACGUCUAUACGAG